GACGAACGCUGGCGGCGUGCUUAACACAUGCAAGUCGAACGGAAAGGCCCUGCUUUUGUGGGGUGCUCGAGUGGCGAACGGGUGAGUAACACGUGAGUAACCUGCCCUUGACUUUGGGAUAACUUCAGGAAACUGGGGCUAAUACCGGAUAGGAGCUCCUGCUGCAUGGUGGGGGUUGGAAAGUUUCGGCGGUUGGGGAUGGACUCGCGGCUUAUCAGCUUGUUGGUGGGGUAGUGGCUUACCAAGGCUUUGACGGGUAGCCGGCCUGAGAGGGUGACCGGCCACAUAGGGACUGAGAUACGGCCCAGACUCCGACGGGAGGAAGCAGUGGGGAAUAUUGAACAAUGGACGGAAGCCUGAUGCAGCAACGCCGCGUGCGGGAUAACGGCCUUCGGGUUGUAAACCGCUUUCGCCUGUGACGAAGCGUGAGUGACGGUAAUGGGUAAAGAAGCACCGGCUAACUACGUG
RNAcentral lists this ribosomal RNA (468 nucleotides) under uncultured bacterium. RNAcentral's name for it is "partial 16S ribosomal RNA". It matches the Rfam family "Bacterial small subunit ribosomal RNA", at positions 28 to 507 of the family's 1533-position model. The record is from RNAcentral.